GCAAGUCGAACGAUGAACCUCCUUCGGGAGGGGAUUAGUGGCGAACGGGUGAGUAACACGUGGGCAAUCUGCCCUGCACUCUGGGACAAGCCCUGGAAACGGGGUCUAAUACCGGAUACUGAUCAUCUUGGGCAUCCUUGGUGAUCGAAAGCUCCGGCGGUGCAGGAUGAGCCCGCGGCCUAUCAGCUUGUUGGUGAGGUAAUGCUCACCAAGCGACGACGGGUAGCCGGCCUGAAGGGCGACCGGCCCACUGGGAUGAGACACGGCCCAGAUCCUACGGGAGGCAGCAGUGGGGAAUAUUGCACAAUGGGCGAAAGCCUGAUGCAGCGACGCCGCCUGAAGGAUGACGGCCUUCGGGUUGUAAACCUCUUUCAGCAGGGAAGAAGCGAAAGUGACGGUACCUGCAGAAGAAGCGCCGGCUAACUACGUGCCAGCAGCCGCGGUAAUACGUAGGGCGCGAGCGUUGUCCGGAAUUAUUGGGCGUAAAGAGCUCGUAGGCGGCUUGUCGCGUCGGUUGUGAAAGCCCGGGGCUUAACCCCGGGUCUGCAGUCGAUACGGGCAGGCUAGAGUUCGGUAGGGGAGAUCGGAAUUCCUGGUGUAGCGGUGAAAUGCGCAGAUAUCAGGAGGAACACCGGUGGCGAAGGCGGAUCUCUGGGCCGAUACUGACGCUGAGGAGCGAAAGCGUGGGGAGCGAACAGGAUUAGAUACCCUGGUAGUCCACGCCGUAAACGGUGGGCACUAGGUGUGGGCGACAUUCCACGUCGUCCGUGCCGCAGCUAACGCAUUAAGUGCCCCGCCUGGGGAGUACGGCCGCAAGGCUAAAACUCAAAGGAAUUGACGGGGGCCCGCACAAGCGGCGGAGCAUGUGGCUUAAUUCGACGCAACGCGAAGAACCUUACCAAGGCUUGACAUACACCGGAAAACCCUGGAGACAGGGUCCCCCUUGUGGUCGGUGUACAGGUGGUGCAUGGCUGUCGUCAGCUCGGGUCGGGAAUGUUGGGUUAAGUCCCGCAACGAGCGCAACCCUUGUCCGUGUUGCCGCAGGCCCUUGUGGUGCUGGGGACUCCGGGAGACCGCCGGGUCACUCGAAGAAGGUGGGGACACGUCAGUAUCAUGCCCUUAGUCUGGGCUGCACGUGCUAAAUGGCCGGUACAUGAGCUGCAAACCGCAAGUGGACCAAUCCAAAAACCCGGUCUCAGUUCGGAUUGGGGUCUGCAACUCGACCCCAUGAAGUCGGAGUCGCUAGUAAUCGCAGAUCAGCAUUGCUGCGGUGAAUACGUUCCCGGGCCUUGUACACACCGCCCGUCACGUCACGAAAGUCGGUAACACCCGAAGCCGGUGGCCCAACCCCUUGUGGGAGGGAGCUGUCGAAGGUGGANGCAGG
RNAcentral lists this ribosomal RNA (1384 nucleotides) under Streptomyces werraensis. RNAcentral's name for it is "bacterial SSU rRNA". It matches the Rfam family "Bacterial small subunit ribosomal RNA". The record is from RNAcentral. Lineage: Bacteria; Bacillati; Actinomycetota; Actinomycetes; Kitasatosporales; Streptomycetaceae.